AUUGAACGCUGGCGGCAGGCUUAACACAUGCAAGUCGAGCGGGGUGAUGGUGCUUGCACUAUCACUUAGCGGCGGACGGGUGAGUAAUGCUUAGGAAUCUGCCUAUUAGUGGGGGACAACAUCUCGAAAGGGAUGCUAAUACCGCAUACGGCCUACGGGAGAAAGCCGGGGAUCAAUUGGGAACUUGCGCUAAUAGAUGAGCCUAAGUCGGAUUAGCUAGUUGGUGGGGUAAAGGGCUACCAAGGCGACGAUCUGUAGCGGGUCUUAGAGGAGGACCCGCCACACUGGGACUGGGACACGGACCAGACUCCUACGGGAGGCAGCAGUGGGGAAUAUUGGACAAUGGGGGGAACCCUGAUCCAGCCAUGCCGCGUGUGUGAAGAAGGCCUUAUGGUUGUAAAGCACUUUAAGCGAGGAGGAGGCUCUUUUGGUUAAUACCCAAGAUGAGUGGACGUUACUCGCAGAAUAAGCACCGGCUAACUCUGUGCCAGCAGCCGGCGUAA
This 503-nucleotide ribosomal RNA is filed under the name uncultured bacterium. RNAcentral describes it as "partial 16S ribosomal RNA". It matches the Rfam family "Bacterial small subunit ribosomal RNA", at positions 30 to 523 of the family's 1533-position model. The record is from RNAcentral.